UAAAAAUUUAUUUUUUUUUUUUUUUUCAUGUAAAUUUUUGUGUGAAUUUUAAUUAAAUUUUAAUAAUUUAUUUAAUAUAAUAUUUAUUUGCAGUAUUUAAUUUUAAUAAUUUAAGAAAUUAAGAAUUAUAAAUAAAUUUAAUUAUAGACAAAUUUUGUGCCAGCAGUUGCGGUUAUACAAAAUAUAUAAAUAAAUUUUAUUAGUUAAUAAUUAUAUGAUUUUAAUGAUAAAUUUAAUUUUUAUUUAUUAGGUGAAAUUUUAAAUAGAAUUUUAAUUUUUAUAUUAGUUUUUAUUAUUAUGAAAUUUAAUAUUAAACUAGGAUUAGAUACCCUAUUAUUUUAAAUGUAAAUUUAUAAUACUUAAGUAGUAAUAGUUAUGAUCUUUAAAUUUAAAGAUUUUGGCGGUAUUUUAGUCUAUUCAGAGGAACCUGUUCUGUAAUUGAUAGUCCACGAUUAACUUUAUUUAAUUUUAAAAAUUUGUAUAUCAUUGUUUAUAGAAAAUUUUAUAAGAAUUUAAAUUUUUAAUAUUUUUUAUUAAAAUUAAUUUCAAAUCAAGGUGCAGUUUAUAAUUAAAUAGAAAUGGGUUACAAUAAAUUUAUUUAAAUGGAUAUAAAUAUUAAUAUAUUUAUUUAAAGUGGAUUUGAUAGUAAUUAAAUUAAGUUAAAUUUUUUGAUUUAAGCUCUAAAAUAUGUACAUAUCGCCCGUCGCUCUUAUAUAAAAUAAGAUAAGUCGUAACAUAGUAGAUGUACUGGAAAGUGUAUCUAGAAUGAA
Molecule: non-coding RNA, 770 nt
Filed under: Haliplus lineatocollis
Lineage: Eukaryota; Metazoa; Arthropoda; Insecta; Coleoptera; Haliplidae
Source: RNAcentral